This 253-nucleotide ribosomal RNA is filed under the name uncultured bacterium. RNAcentral describes it as "partial 16S ribosomal RNA". It matches the Rfam family "Bacterial small subunit ribosomal RNA", at positions 524 to 776 of the family's 1533-position model. The record is from RNAcentral.
UACGGAGGGUGCAAGCGUUGUCCGGAUUUAUUGGGUUUAAAGGGUGCGUAGGCGGCUUUGUAAGUUAGAGGUGAAAGCCCGGAGCUCAACUCCGGAACUGCCUUUAAGACUGCAUCGCUUGAACGUCGGAGAGGUAAGUGGAAUUCCGAGUGUAGAGGUGAAAUUCGUAGAUAUUCGGAAGAACACCAGUGGCGAAGGCGACUUACUGGACGACUGUUGACGCUGAGGUGCGAAAGCGUGGGGAGCAAACAGG